GACGAACGCUGGCGGCGUGCCUAAUACAUGCAAGUAGAACGCACAGUUUAUACCGUAGCUUGCUACACCAUAGACUGUGAGUUGCGAACGGGUGAGUAACGCGUAGGUAACCUGCCUGGUAGCGGGGGAUAACUAUUGGAAACGAUAGCUAAUACCGCAUAAUAUUAAUUAUUGCAUGAUAAUUGAUUGAAAGGUGCAAUUGCACCACUACCAGAUGGACCUGCGUUGUAUUAGCUAGUAGGUGAGGUAACGGCUCACCUAGGCGACGAUACAUAGCCGACCUGAGAGGGUGAUCGGCCACACUGGGACUGAGACACGGCCCAGACUCCUACGGGAGGCAGCAGUAGGGAAUCUUCGGCAAUGGACGAAAGUCUGACCGAGCAACGCCGCGUGAGUGAAGAAGGUUUUCGGAUCGUAAAGCUCUGUUGUAAGAGAAGAACGGGUGUGAGAGGGAAAGUUCACACUGGA
Molecule: ribosomal RNA, 468 nt
Filed under: Streptococcus gordonii
Lineage: Bacteria; Bacillati; Bacillota; Bacilli; Lactobacillales; Streptococcaceae
Description: bacterial SSU rRNA
Rfam family: Bacterial small subunit ribosomal RNA
Source: RNAcentral